UACGGGGGGAGCAAGCGUUGUUCGGAUUUACUGGGCGUAAAGGGCGCGUAGGCGGUCGUGACAAGUCACUUGUGAAAUCUCCGGGCUUAACUCGGAACGGUCAAGUGAUACUGUCGGACUAGAGUACAGAAGGGGGCAACUGGAAUUCUCGGUGUAGCGGUGAAAUGCGUUGAUACUCAGAAGGAACGUGCCGGUGGGCGAAAGCGACGUGCUGGACCUCUUCUGACGCUGGAGGC
This 236-nucleotide ribosomal RNA is filed under the name uncultured bacterium. RNAcentral's name for it is "partial 16S ribosomal RNA". It matches the Rfam family "Bacterial small subunit ribosomal RNA", at positions 524 to 752 of the family's 1533-position model. The record is from RNAcentral.